RNAcentral lists this transfer RNA (86 nucleotides) under Planctomycetota bacterium. Its description in RNAcentral is "Planctomycetes bacterium tRNA-Leu". It matches the Rfam family "tRNA". Rfam says of the family: Transfer RNA (tRNA) molecules are approximately 80 nucleotides in length. Their secondary structure includes four short double-helical elements and three loops (D, anti-codon, and T loops). Further hydrogen bonds mediate the characteristic L-shaped molecular structure. tRNAs have two regions of fundamental functional importance: the anti-codon, which is responsible for specific mRNA codon recognition, and the 3' end, to which the tRNAs corresponding amino acid is attached (by aminoacyl-tRNA synthetases). tRNAs cope with the degeneracy of the genetic code in two manners: having more than one tRNA (with a specific anti-codon) for a particular amino acid; and 'wobble' base-pairing, i.e. permitting non-standard base-pairing at the 3rd anti-codon position. Lineage: Bacteria; Pseudomonadati; Planctomycetota. The record is from RNAcentral.
GCCGAGGUGGCGGAAUUGGCAGACGCGCUAGGUUGAGGGCCUAGUUCCCUUUUUUGGGAGUGAGGGUUCAAAUCCCUCCCUCGGCA